Molecule: ribosomal RNA, 253 nt
Filed under: uncultured bacterium
Lineage: Bacteria
Description: partial 16S ribosomal RNA
Rfam family: Bacterial small subunit ribosomal RNA
Source: RNAcentral
UACGGAGGGUGCAAGCGUUAUCCGGAUUUACUGGGUUUAAAGGGUGCGUAGGUGGGUUGGUAAGUCAGUGGUGAAAUACUUUCGCUUAACGAAGGAACUGCCAUUGAUACUACCAGUCUUGAAUACAGUGGAGGUAGGCGGAAUGCGACAUGUAGCGGUGAAAUGCUUAGAUAUGACGCAGAACACCAAUUGCGAAGGCAGCUUGCUACACUGUUAUUGACACUGAGGCACGAAAGCGUGGGGAUCAAACAGG